This 253-nucleotide ribosomal RNA is filed under the name uncultured Bifidobacterium sp. RNAcentral describes it as "partial 16S ribosomal RNA". It matches the Rfam family "Bacterial small subunit ribosomal RNA", at positions 524 to 776 of the family's 1533-position model. Lineage: Bacteria; Bacillati; Actinomycetota; Actinomycetes; Bifidobacteriales; Bifidobacteriaceae. The record is from RNAcentral.
UACGUAGGGUGCAAGCGUUAUCCGGAUUUAUUGGGCGUAAAGGGCUCGUAGGCGGUUCGUCGCGUCCGGUGUGAAAGUCCAUCGCUUAACGGUGGAUCCGCGCCGGGUACGGGCGGGCUUGAGUGCGGUAGGGGAGACUGGAAUUCCCGGUGUAACGGUGGAAUGUGUAGAUAUCACACAGAACACCGAUUGCGAAGGCAUCUCACGAAUCCGCUAUUGACGCUGAUGCACGAAAGCGUGGGUAUCAAACAGG